RNAcentral lists this ribosomal RNA (25 nucleotides) under Ganoderma lucidum. RNAcentral's name for it is "partial 28S ribosomal RNA". The record is from RNAcentral. Lineage: Eukaryota; Fungi; Basidiomycota; Agaricomycetes; Polyporales; Polyporaceae.
UAUGACCUCUGACCUCAAAUCAGGU